GAUGAACGCUGGCGGCGUGCCUAAUACAUGCAAGUCGAGCGAACAGACGAGGAGCUUGCUCCUCUGACGUUAGCGGCGGACGGGUGAGUAACACGUGGAUAACCUACCUAUAAGACUGGGAUAACUUCGGGAAACCGGAGCUAAUACCGGAUAAUAUAUUGAACCGCAUGGUUCAAUAGUGAAAGACGGUUUUGCUGUCACUUAUAGAUGGAUCCGCGCCGCAUUAGCUAGUUGGUAAGGUAACGGCUUACCAAGGCGACGAUGCGUAGCCGACCUGAGAGGGUGAUCGGCCAAACUGGAACUGAGACACGGUCCAGACUCCUACGGGAGGCAGCAGUAGGGAAUCUUCCGCAAUGGGCGAAAGCCUGACGGAGCAACGCCGCGUGAGUGAUGAAGGUCUUCGGAUCUUAAAACUCUGUUAUUAGGGAAGAACAAAUGUGUAAGUAACUAUGCACGUCUUGACGGUACCUAAUCAGAAAGCCACGGCUAACUACGUG
This 497-nucleotide ribosomal RNA is filed under the name uncultured bacterium. Its description in RNAcentral is "partial 16S ribosomal RNA". It matches the Rfam family "Bacterial small subunit ribosomal RNA", at positions 28 to 507 of the family's 1533-position model. The record is from RNAcentral.